RNAcentral lists this ribosomal RNA (378 nucleotides) under uncultured bacterium. RNAcentral describes it as "bacterial SSU rRNA". It matches the Rfam family "Bacterial small subunit ribosomal RNA", at positions 521 to 896 of the family's 1533-position model. The record is from RNAcentral.
UAAUACGAAGGGCCCGAGCGUUGCGCGGAAUUACUGGGCUUAAAGCGUACGUAGGCGGGCGUGCAGGCACUUUGUGAAAUCCCCCGGCUCAACCGGGGAAUAGCUUGGUGAACCGCACGUCUUGAGACAAGUAGGGGCUGUCGGAACGAUAGGUGGAGCGGUGAAAUGCGUUGAUAUCUAUCGGAACGCCGAAGGUGAAGACAGGCAGCUGGGCUUGUUCUGACGCUCAGGUACGAAAGCGUGGGGAGCGAACGGGAUUAGAUACCCCGGUAGUCCACGCCGUAAACGAUGUGCACUAGAUCGAGGAGGUUCUGACACCGUUCUCGGUCGAAGCAAAAGUGUUAAGUGCACCGCCUGGGGAGUACGGUCGCAAGGCUA